AGUCGGGGGAAUCCCAGCAAUGGGGGAACCGGCGUAAGGGGCAGUAAUGUGUGGGUACCUACCUUUGGGUUCGGGAUAGCCAUCAGAGAUGGUGGGUAAUACCGGAUGAUGUCGUGAGACCAAAGAUUUAUCGCCCGAAGAGGGGCCCACAUGAUAUUAGCUAGUUGGUAGGGUAACGGCCUACCAAGGCGAAGAUGUCUAGCGGGUGUGAGAGCACGACCCGCGCCACUCGCACUGAGACACUGGCGAGACACCUACGGGUGGCUGCAGUCGAGGAUCUUCGGCAAUGAGCGCAAGCUUGACCGAGCGACGCCGCGUGAGCGAUGAAGGCCUUCGGGUUGUAAAGCUCUUUAGUGGGGGAGAAAAGCCCGCAAGGGUGUGAUCUAUCCCAAAAAUAAGCACGGGCUAAGUUCGUGCCAGCAGCCGCGGUAAGACGAACCGUGCGAACGUUGUUCGGAAUCACUGGGCUUAAAGGGCGCGUAGGCGGGCUGUCAAGUCUGGGGUGAAAUGCCGCGGCUCAACCGUGGAACUGCCUUAAAUACUGAC
This 546-nucleotide ribosomal RNA is filed under the name uncultured bacterium. RNAcentral's name for it is "bacterial SSU rRNA". It matches the Rfam family "Bacterial small subunit ribosomal RNA", at positions 60 to 637 of the family's 1533-position model. The record is from RNAcentral.